AUGGUCCUUAAUGACGUCCAUCUUCAUGAGCAAACCUAAGACGUCAUCAUUUGGAAGCAUGCAAACGAUAAGAUCUACACGACAGCCACCGCGUACAAGGCUCAAUUUCUAGGCAUGACCCUCUCCCCCUUGGAUCGCAUGGUUUGGAAGGCAUGGGCACCUCCAAAGGAUAAGUUUUUUGCUUGGUUGGCGUUGCAAGAUAGGGUCUGGACCGCCGAUCGGUUGGAGCGAUGA
This 234-nucleotide ribosomal RNA is filed under the name Triticum aestivum (bread wheat). RNAcentral describes it as "partial small subunit ribosomal RNA". Lineage: Eukaryota; Viridiplantae; Streptophyta; Magnoliopsida; Poales; Poaceae. The record is from RNAcentral.